UAUGAUAGAAUUAGGGCGCGCGCUGUCCGCUGUGUAUGGAUGUCCUGAUUUGCAUGCCGUCCGAGGUGCUCCGCGGCAGCGCCGGCGCGGUGGGGGUCGAGCCGUCGAGGAAGGACCGGCGAGAAGAACGGAGAGUGUCGCGGAGGCGGCUGUGCAUCGUGCACGGUUUGUUGCUGGGCUUCUUGGGCUGAGAUGCUGCUGGGCUUCUUGGGCCUUACCUACGAUAGAUAUCGGAAGGCGCCCUUUAUCGGCAAAAAAAAAGUAUUUUGCCCGUCGUUACUUCACUUCCGGUGUUCCCUCCCCUGCUGGCGGCUGCCGGGGAGCGCAGCCGCACCAGCCAGCCAUGAAGCGCUUCUUCCAGCCCGUACUCAAGGACGGAUCCCCCGCCAAGAAGAGGCCCGCCGGAGCCGCGACCUCUGACUGCGUUGAUGGCCGCGCCCCCACCGCGGCCGACGCCGGCGGGGACGGCCCUCCCGGCGAGGAGCCACGCAGGUUCAUCACGUGGAACGCCAACAGCCUUCUGCUCCGGAUGAAGAGCGACUGGCCCGCGUUCUGUCAGUUCGUCGCCCGCCUCGACCCCGACGUCAUCUGCGUCCAGGAAGUGCGGAUGCCAGCAGCUGGUUCCAAAGGGGCACCUAAAAAUCCUAGUGAGCUAAAAGACGACACAACGUCGUCACGCGAAGAAAAACAGACAGUGCUGCGUGCUUUGUCGAGCUCACCUUUCAAAGACUACCGUGUGUGGUGGUCCCUUUCAGAUUCAAAAUAUGCAGGCACAGCUGUGUUUAUGAAGAAGAAGUUUGAACCAAAGAAAGUGUCAUUCAACUUGGAUAGAACAUCUACUAAGCAUGAUGCAGACGGUCGUGUCAUCAUUGUGGAAUUUGAAUCAUUCUUGUUGCUAAACACAUAUGCUCCAAACAACGGGUGGAAAGAGGAGGAAAAUUCAUUUCAAAGAAGAAGAAAGUGGGAUAAAAGAAUGUCGGAGUUUGUUCAACAAGUAGACAAGCCCUUAAUCUGGUGCGGAGACCUGAACGUUAGUCAUGACGAAAUCGAUGUCAGCCAUCCUGAUUUUUUUAGCGAUGCUAAGCUCAAUGGAUAUAUCCCUCCAAAUAAAGAGGACUGUGGACAGCCAGGAUUCACCCUUGCAGAGAGACAGCGCUUUGGCAAUAUAUUGUCCCAGUAUGUGUAAACUAACAUAUUUCAGCAUUUUUUUCCUUCUCCUUGAUAGAGCACUCCCCCAUUUCUCAAAUGGAGGCCAUCCUUGAACAAAUCUGGAGCGUAUUAACAUCUCUAUUUAGACAAGCAACAAAAAAGUGCCCUGAUGAGCAUCUCAAAUGUGAAUCUUGUGGAAUUGUGGUCAUGGAAACAUAAAAGAUUAUUGUUUCAAUGCUCAGUAAGGUAAAUGUUCAACAUGACUGGGGGCAGUGUCAAGUUCUCAUAUCAUCAUAUAGAUAUUGCUGGUACAACCUCUAAAUUUGUUUAUAAGUACUUUACUAGUCAUUGUAAAUUCAGAAUGGACCAAGGUUUUUGCACACACAAAAAGGAUGAAGUUCAAACUAGCUAGAACACAUACUGUCAUCUUUGUCUGGAAUUUUAUAGGACAGGCCUGAAAAACAUACCUAUAAACCAAUGAAUGGUGAAUAAGACAUUUUAGUGGAAAUAUAGAAGGCUAAAGUUAGUUGCAUAGAAGCAUUAAUCUUUAUAGUCUUGAAUACCACCUUAUGGACUAACAUUUGGAUGUAUAGGGGAAAGCUGGUAGAUGCUUACAGAUACCUGCA
Molecule: non-coding RNA, 1775 nt
Organism: Triticum urartu
Lineage: Eukaryota; Viridiplantae; Streptophyta; Magnoliopsida; Poales; Poaceae
Source: RefSeq, a predicted model, not a curated record